This 554-nucleotide ribosomal RNA is filed under the name Radulinus boleoides (darter sculpin). Its description in RNAcentral is "partial 16S ribosomal RNA". It matches the Rfam family "Bacterial large subunit ribosomal RNA", at positions 1851 to 2605 of the family's 2925-position model. Lineage: Eukaryota; Metazoa; Chordata; Actinopteri; Perciformes; Cottidae. The record is from RNAcentral.
GGUCCCGCCUGCCCUGUGACUAUUUGUUUAACGGCCGCGGUAUUUUGACCGUGCGAAGGUAGCGCAAUCACUUGUCUUUUAAAUGGAGACCCGUAUGAAUGGCAUAACGAGGGCUUAACUGUCUCCUCUUUCAAGUCAAUGAAAUUGAUCUCCCCGUGCAGAAGCGGGGAUAUAAACAUAAGACGAGAAGACCCUAUGGAGCUUUAGACACUAAGACAGCCCACGUUAAGCACCCUGAACAAAGGACUAAACCAAGUGGGCCCUGCCCUAAUGUCUUUGGUUGGGGCGACCGCGGGGAAUUAAAGAACCCCCACGUGGAAUGGGAACACUCUUCCUACAACUAAGAGCUACAGCUCUAGAAAACAGAAUUUCUGACCAACAAGAUCCGGCAAUGCCGAUCAACGGACCGAGUUACCCUAGGGAUAACAGCGCAAUCCUCUUUUAGAGCCCAUAUCGACAAGGGGGUUUACGACCUCGAUGUUGGAUCAGGACAUCCUAAUGGUGCAGCCGCUAUUAAGGGUUCGUUUGUUCAACGAUUAAAGUCCUACGUGAUC